CCUACGGGAGGCAGCAGUGAGGAAUAUUGGUCAAUGGGCGCGAGCCUGAACCAGCCAAGUAGCGUGAAGGAUGACUGCCCUACGGGUUGUAAACUUCUUUUAUAAAGGAAUAAAGUGAGGCCCGUGUGCCUUUUUGUAUGUACUUUAUGAAUAAGGAUCGGCUAACUCAGUGCCAGCAGCCGCGGUAAAACGGAGGAUCCGAGCGUUGUCCGGAUUUAUUGGGUUUAAAGGGAGCGUAGAUGGGUUGUUAAGUCAGUUGUGAACGUUUGCGGCUCAACCGUAAAAUUGCAAUUGAUACUGGCAGUCUUGAGUACAUUUGAGGUAGGCGGAAUUCGUGGUGUAGCGGUGAAAUGCUUAGAUAUCACGAAGAACUCCGAUUGCGAAGGCAGCUUACUAAACUGCCACUGACAUUGAUGCUCGAAAGUGUGGGUAUCAAACAGGAUUAGAUACCCCUGUAGUC
This 460-nucleotide ribosomal RNA is filed under the name uncultured bacterium. RNAcentral describes it as "partial 16S ribosomal RNA". It matches the Rfam family "Bacterial small subunit ribosomal RNA", at positions 338 to 795 of the family's 1533-position model. The record is from RNAcentral.